RNAcentral lists this long non-coding RNA (1079 nucleotides) under Mustela putorius furo (domestic ferret). Its description in RNAcentral is "lncRNA (ENSMPUG00000027871.1)". Lineage: Eukaryota; Metazoa; Chordata; Mammalia; Carnivora; Mustelidae. The record is from RNAcentral.
CAGAAAUUAAGAGUCGGAAAGAGUCAAGUCCGCCGCGCUGGGCUGCUCCGGGGUGCUUACCCGAUGGUUCCAGGCGCCCUGCCGGUGCGCCUGCAGCGUAGUAGGUGCGCGGUGAACCGCAGCCCAGGAGCUACGUGGCCAGUGAGGAACGCCAAACGCGAGGGAAACGCAGAGUCGAGCUCCAGCCGCGUCCAAGGGAGAAAGGGGCGGUUCCGACUCUGCGACCAUCCUCGAGCAAGUUCAAGGACUCCCACCCCCGCCCCCAAGCCCCUCCGCAGAGGCAGACCGGUCGUGCCCAGAGGCCCUCGCUCAGGACUCGCACGGCUCGCUAGGAACUCUGGAAGGAGACAGACCCACAUGGCUACCAUCUGGCAACACAGAGCAGCUGCUGCCAAAGAGGAGUGGAACCAUGUCAGAUUUAAGAUUCUAUAUGGUAGAUGCUGUCCUGAAAGCUCAAGGUGAAUUACUCCAUGAGUAGACAAAGAGAAGAACAUCAAGACCUUCUUGUGGCUACUGAAUAUCUGAGUUUACAGUCCCACUUUCUUCUCUAAGAAGUCUUUCCUUUUCAGAUGAGUGAUAUCUGGAAUGACCUGUCUCACAAGAUAGAAGAGAACUGUAGAAUAGAUGUCAAGAGAAAGAACCCAAGAGUCUGACUCUACCACAUCUUAACUUAAAAUUUCCAUGCUUCAAUUGUCUCAUGUAUAAAAUGAUAACAGUAGUAACUACCUCAUAGGAUAUUGUGCGUAGCACAUGAGUGAAAGCUUAUAAAAUACUUAGAACAGGAUAUGACAUAGAGUGUGUACUCUAGAUGUCAGAAUUAUUUAGUUUAGCCUAAACCUUGCAGCGCUCAAGAAUAUCCUCAUCAGACUACAAUACAGAUUUCAAAAUUCAUACAAGAGAGACACAUCUUGAGGAGCUAGGGAAUCAGUUUUAUCUGGUUGUAAAUAUUUUAUUAGCAUGACUAUCAAUUGGUUAAUUGAUGCACUUUAUAUUUUCAUUUGUAUAUUUUAUAAUUAUAAAAGUAAUAUAUUCUAACACUGGGAGCCUAUAAAAUAUAAAAAAUAAACAUUAAAGGGAGA